Dunckerocampus dactyliophorus (ringed pipefish) is the source of this 1436-nucleotide long non-coding RNA. RefSeq lists it as uncharacterized. The record is from RefSeq and is a predicted model, not a curated record. The transcript is spliced from 6 exons. NCBI's taxonomy places the organism in Eukaryota, Metazoa, Chordata, Actinopteri, Syngnathiformes, Syngnathidae.
CACGCUGAGAAUGCAAUUGCUUAAAAUCUCAACACAGUCCAAAAUGGGAUGUCUAUGUUUUCUUGGAUAUGACCCGAAACCAGUCUCCGAUCAUGCUGAGAACUGCAGCGAAAUAGGCCAGGCCCACCAGGAUCCAGAACCACACCACAGUCUCCAAAGCCGAUGGUGGUGAGGGUGAUGACCACAAAGUAGAUGGACUCCAGAGUGCUCCAGCCCUCGAUGUGCUUGAAGAUGACAGCUGGCAGCGCCACAAAGAUGAGACAGCCAAACAGGAUGAAGAGCAGCGUGGAGAUUACGCGGAUCUUUGUCUGGCUGACUUUCCAUUUCUGGAGAAAACGUAAUAGGACUCAGUGAGUGGAACACUGACUCAUGAUGAGGGACGGAUGACACAAAUGAGAUUUCAUUUUCAGCAAAUUUGACAAAACCUGCUUAUCCAACCAGAGACAGCAUGAUGGACUGGAGGGAGGUGGCGUAACGGCUUGAGAAACAGAGUUAGUGAGCUACUAUUUUUCCCCCAUAAAUAAAUCUCAGGUCCCACAAGAAGUGUGCUGUAGUAUCUGGUUAGUAAAAAUUGCAUGUACGCCAUCAUGGAUUUAUUGCAGUUAGUUCCCUUUCCUUGCAGCACACCAGAGAAAACUCUUUCCACAUGAUGUGGCUGCUAUCAGCAGGUUGCUGGAACAUCUUGCCCCUUUUUUCCCUCUGUCAGUUAUGUAAGCCCCAAAGCUACACUGAGUGCAGGCGCAGGACAGGAAGUAGUGAACAGCAGAGCUUUGCUGUCAUCCUUGCCUCAAUAUGAAUGAGCUCUACAGGCAAUGGUACAUCUUAUUUGGUUUCUACAAUACCUUGGUGUGCAUUGUUUGCAGCAACCCCCACGAGAGGGAAGCCAAAGAGCCCGAGGAGGAAUCAAAAACAUUUAUAUGUGGUUAACUCUGGAAAUAAGUUACCUUAGGCUUAGUGCUGGUACUGUACUGUGUACCUAAAGAAGAGUCCAGUGAGUGUUUCUCAGAGGAACUUGUUUGUAUGCAUCCACACGUGCAAGCAGUGUGCAGAGACUCUGACUGUAAAGCUCCCACUGGCUCAUUAUGAAGAUGUGAGACUGCACACAAGUCUUGGACCUGCUGCUCUCUUCACGUAUAAUGAUUCACCAUUUGGGAAUUCUUCCUGCCUUCAACAUAAAACUUAAUUGUCUAGGGGGGGGCCACAUUUUCAAAGAGCGAAAGGAACAGGGUUCGUACUACUACCUCGAUGGAUGACUGUCCAGCCCACUAACAUACUGGAUCUAUUUAUUUUAACAGGUCCUCCAGCUCAGAGGAGUUGACACAGGCGUGCACGGCCAAGAACUCCAGCUUCUCUGCAAGGAUGGCCAGUUUCUGGGAGCUCUCGUGCGGCUGCUCCAGCGCCCGGAACACCGUGGCGCCGAUGAUGAGAUACAGCAC